Non-coding RNA from Apteryx haastii (Great spotted kiwi), 263 nucleotides. The record is from Ensembl. NCBI's taxonomy places the organism in Eukaryota, Metazoa, Chordata, Aves, Apterygiformes, Apterygidae.
GGUCUGUGAUGAAUAGUAAAAGGUCUGAUUAUCCCGAGACUUGCAUUUCCAUGACCCUGGCUCCCAGCAGUCUCUCCCCAGUCACGGCACAGUUAAGAUGUGAUUGGCAGAGUGCUUGCUGACAGCUUGUGAUGUGUUCAGUUCAUGUUAACCUGAAGUAUUGGAGACAUGACUGUAGUCCACAUCCAACAGUCCUACCUGAAGGAGUUUGGGGUCUUGGUCUGUUAUAUCUGGACAUGUGAUCUGACUUUUCUGCUGAGACC